Non-coding RNA from Pangasius djambal, 72 nucleotides. The record is from the annotation of a GenBank genome assembly. Lineage: Eukaryota; Metazoa; Chordata; Actinopteri; Siluriformes; Pangasiidae.
UCCCUGGAGGACUAGUGGUUAGGCUACACCGCUCUCACUGCUGCGGCCCGGGUUCGAUUCCCAGCCAGGGAA